GGACAAUAUAAUUAUAUCAAUAAAACUACAACACUCUAAUUAUUAUUUCUUCAGAACUAACUACUACUUACAAUCAUCAAGAGAGAACUACUAUCCAUCUCUCUGUUUUACAUAUGGAUAAGUAAUAAAUAUAUGAAGACAUUUUUUAUAACAUGCACAACCAAGGAAAUAAAUUUGACACAAAAGCAUUCGACGUUACUUGUUUCGUUGAGUGGAAUCUGAAGGCAAAGAACUUUGAAACUCCAGUAAAAUCUCCUGAAUCCGUUUCUUCAACAGUUUAUCUUUGACACCUGCCAGCAUACUACGAUAAAACAUCUCCAGGCGGACAAGCUUUCCACGAUCCAAGGACUCCAACAUGUUUUCCCACUCCUUUGCAAUGUCAAAUGAACCUCCACCGCGUAAUGAGGCUGGCAUAUCUCGCUCUUCAAAAGGUUUCCCAAAGGUGGCACCAUGAAGAAUGCUAGCAUACCUUUCCAUUAGAGAGAGUUUCGACUGAAGAAGCUUUACAUCCUCUGCUGCCAUAGACAGCUUCCUCUCCAAUUCUAUCACAUCUUCAGUUUUCUUUUCUGCACCACUUUUAUCGCUACCAUCUUUCACACUCUGUUCUCUAAAAUCUGCAUCUAGAGGUGGCCAUAGUGCCAUAGUUGGAGAGUAGCAAUCAAUCAUCUUACCAUUUCCAAGGACACCACUCCAUCCUCUACCCCAAGACCACAUCUUAUAUCCAGCACCUGCCAGAAGAAUAGUAUGGGCAGCACCACAGACAACUUGAACAGGUUCUGGAAAUUUAGGCCCAUAUAGCCCAGAACAGGGAAUCAACAGAGGAAGAAUUGCAUCACCUGCAUCAGGUCCACUAUAACUUGCUUCAGGGCAUAGGCCAAGGCCUUUCUCCAUUCCCCAUGACCAC
RNAcentral lists this unclassified non-coding RNA (904 nucleotides) under Hevea brasiliensis (rubber tree). The record is from RNAcentral. Lineage: Eukaryota; Viridiplantae; Streptophyta; Magnoliopsida; Malpighiales; Euphorbiaceae.